This 468-nucleotide ribosomal RNA is filed under the name uncultured bacterium. RNAcentral describes it as "partial 16S ribosomal RNA". It matches the Rfam family "Bacterial small subunit ribosomal RNA", at positions 28 to 507 of the family's 1533-position model. The record is from RNAcentral.
GACGAACGCUGGCGGCGUGCUUAACACAUGCAAGUCGAACGGAAAGGCCCUGCUUUUGUGGGGUGCUCGAGUGGCGAACGGGUGAGUAACACGUGAGUAACCUGCCCUUGACUUUGGGAUAACUUCAGGAAACUGGGGCUAAUACCGGAUAGGAGCUCCUGCUGCAUGGUGGGGGUUGGAAAGUUUCGGCGGUUGGGGCUGGACUCGCGGCUUAUCAGCUUGUUGGUGGGGUAGUGGCUUACCAAGGCUUUGACAGGUAGCCGGCCUGAGAGGGUGACCGGCCACAUUGGGACUGAGAGACGGCCCAGACUCCUACGGGAGGCAGCAGUGGGGAAUAUUGCACAAUGGGCGGAAGCCUGAUGCAGCAACGCCGCGUGCGGGAUGACGGCCUUCGGGUUGUAAACCGCUUUCGCCUGUGACGAAGCGUGAGUGACGGUAAUGGGUAAAGAAGCACCGGCUAACUACGUG